AGUGAACGCUGGCGGUAGGCCUAACACAUGCAAGUCGAACGGCAGCACAGUAGGAGCUUGCUCUUACGGGUGGCGAGUGGCGGACGGGUGAGGAAUACAUCGGAAUCUACUUUUUCGUGGGGGAUAACGUAGGGAAACUUACGCUAAUACCGCAUACGACCUACGGGUGAAAGCAGGGGAUCUUCGGACCUUGCGCGAUUGAAUGAGCCGAUGUCGGAUUAGCUAGUUGGCGGGGUAAAGGCCCACCAAGGCGACGAUCCGUAGCUGGUCUGAGAGGAUGGUCGGCCACACUGGAACUGGGACACGGUCCAGGCUCCUUAGGGAGGCCGCAGUGGGGAAUAUUGGGCAAUGGGCGGAAGCCUUGUCCAGCCCUACCGCGUGGGUUGAGGAGGCCUUCCGGUUGUAAAGCCCUUUUGUUGGGAAAGAAAAGCAGCAGGUUAAUACCCCGCUGUUCUGACGGUACCCAAAGAAUAAGCACCGGCUAACUUCGUG
RNAcentral lists this ribosomal RNA (492 nucleotides) under uncultured bacterium. RNAcentral's name for it is "partial 16S ribosomal RNA". It matches the Rfam family "Bacterial small subunit ribosomal RNA", at positions 29 to 507 of the family's 1533-position model. The record is from RNAcentral.